UCCCAGACUCCUACGGGAGGCAGCAGUGGGGAAUAUUGCACAAUGGGCGAAAGCCUGAUGCAGCGACGCCGCGUGAGUGAAGAAGUAUUUCGGUAUGUAAAGCUCUAUCAGCAGGGAAGAAAAUGACGGUACCUGACUAAGAAGCCCCGGCUAACUACGUGCCAGCAGCCGCGGUAAUACGUAGGGGGCAAGCGUUAUCCGGAUUUACUGGGUGUAAAGGGAGCGUAGACGGGCCAGCAAGUCUGAUGUGAAAACCCGGGGCCCAACCCCGGGAGUGCAUUGGAAACUGCGGGCCUGGAGUGCCGGAGAGGUAAGCGGAAUUCCUAGUGUAGCGGUGAAAUGCGUAGAUAUUAGGAGGAACACCAGUGGCGAAGGCGGCUUACUGGACGGUAACUGACGUUGAGGCUCGAAAGCGUGGGGAGCAAACAGGAUUAGAUACCCCGGUAUGC
RNAcentral lists this ribosomal RNA (449 nucleotides) under uncultured bacterium. RNAcentral's name for it is "bacterial SSU rRNA". It matches the Rfam family "Bacterial small subunit ribosomal RNA", at positions 329 to 794 of the family's 1533-position model. The record is from RNAcentral.